UUCAUCAUCCCCAAAUAACACAAUUUCUUCACACCUCUUCCUCCAUCUUCAUCAAAAUAAUGUCAAUUUCAUAAUAUGUUACAUCUAUAGAAAUUUAAUUCGCAAGUUGCACUGACUUUGUUGCCCAAUCUAAUGCUAUGAAAAACAUGACAAAAUGAUUUCUAGCAGCGCACAAAUUAACAAGUUAAUUAGGAAAAACAAUGG
RNAcentral lists this long non-coding RNA (204 nucleotides) under Capsicum annuum. RNAcentral's name for it is "long non-coding RNA (CANN_LNC021697)". Lineage: Eukaryota; Viridiplantae; Streptophyta; Magnoliopsida; Solanales; Solanaceae. The record is from RNAcentral.